Molecule: small RNA, 100 nt
Filed under: Pan troglodytes (chimpanzee)
Lineage: Eukaryota; Metazoa; Chordata; Mammalia; Primates; Hominidae
Description: processed transcript
Source: RNAcentral
GGAAAGCUCAGGCAGCAGAAAUGAAAGCAGCAAAUGAAGCAGAAGGAAAAGUAGAAUCCGAGAAGGCAGAUCUCCCUUUUUGGGCCAGACCACCCUCCCG